UACGUAGGUCCCGAGCGUUGUCCGGAUUUAUUGGGCGUAAAGCGAGCGCAGGUGGUUUAAUAAGUCUGAAGUUAAAGGCAUUGGCUCAACCAAUGUACGCUUUGGAAACUGUUAAACUUGAGUGCAGAAGGGGAGAGUGGAAUUCCAUGUGUAGCGGUGAAAUGCGUAGAUAUAUGGAGGAACACCGGUGGCGAAAGCGGCUCUCUGGUCUGUAACUGACACUGAGGCUCGAAAGCGUGGGUAGCGAACA
RNAcentral lists this ribosomal RNA (250 nucleotides) under uncultured prokaryote. Its description in RNAcentral is "partial 16S ribosomal RNA". It matches the Rfam family "Bacterial small subunit ribosomal RNA", at positions 524 to 774 of the family's 1533-position model. The record is from RNAcentral.